GACAUGUUUUCUCUUUCGUAGAGAAAAUAAAGAGCCUGAACUUCACCAUUUAUCUCACAUGUUAUAAUUUACUCCUGCUGUUCUUGUUUUUCUCAAGCAGGGCGAAAGAAAAUGGCAAGGAGUUACUCUUUAUGGCUCUGCGUCUUCCUGUCCAGUUUCCCGUUCAUUUGUGGCGGACCAUUCAAAGAACACGUUGCACAGGUUCAGUCAGAAAAAGACAACGGAUUGAAGAGUGGAGAGGUCGCUGUCAAUCAUCAGGAUUCCCGCUUUAAUAACAAGCCUGUGAAGAAAUCUUUCAAUUAUGGUACAGGGUACGGACAUUACCACCAUCCUGACGAAGAUCUGGAGACAUCUCAAUAUCUUACUGAUCUCGAACAAUUUUACAAUUAUUGGUUUGGAGGUUAACUCACUUUUACCGAGAAGUUGUUUAUUAGUUGGUGUAUUUAUCACGUAAAGGCCUAAGUAUUCAGGGUUCCUUGGACUUUGACAUCAACGUAGCAGCAGAGAAAGAAGGCCUGACGUAAAAUUCGCCUUCAUCUUAUUGUUUCAUGUUACUGUAAAACGUUAGUAUGAAAUAAACUCUCUUUCUACGCUGGA
Molecule: long non-coding RNA, 597 nt
Organism: Pocillopora damicornis (cauliflower coral)
Lineage: Eukaryota; Metazoa; Cnidaria; Anthozoa; Scleractinia; Pocilloporidae
Source: RefSeq, a predicted model, not a curated record